CCUACGGGAGGCAGCAGUGGGGAAUAUUGCACAAUGGGGGAAACCCUGAUGCAGCGACGCCGCGUGAGGGAAGAAGGUUUUCGGAUUGUAAACCUCUGUCCUUGGUGACGAAAGAAGACGGUAGCCAAGGAGGAAGCCACGGCUAACUACGUGCCAGCAGCCGCGGUAAUACGUAGGUGGCAAGCGUUAUCCGGAUUUACUGGGUGUAAAGGGAGCGUAGGCGGCGCGUUAAGUCUGAUGUGAAAACCCGAGGCUCAACCACGGGAGUGCAUUGGAAACUGGCGGGCUGGAGUGCCGGAGAGGUA
RNAcentral lists this ribosomal RNA (305 nucleotides) under uncultured bacterium. RNAcentral describes it as "bacterial SSU rRNA". It matches the Rfam family "Bacterial small subunit ribosomal RNA", at positions 338 to 659 of the family's 1533-position model. The record is from RNAcentral.